GAUGAUGAAGACCAAACAAUUGACAAGCAUAUGUCUGAGCAUC
RNAcentral lists this small nuclear RNA (43 nucleotides) under Eremothecium gossypii ATCC 10895. RNAcentral's name for it is "AgSNR74 (AGOS_AgSNR74)". Lineage: Eukaryota; Fungi; Ascomycota; Saccharomycetes; Saccharomycetales; Saccharomycetaceae. The record is from RNAcentral.